UACGGAGGGGGCUAGCGUCGUUCGGAAUUACUGGGCGUAAAGCGCACGUAGGCGGCUUUGUAAGUUAGAGGUGAAAGCCCGGGGCUCAACUCCGGAAUUGCCUUUAAGACUGCAUCGCUAGAAUUGUGGAGAGGUAAGUGGAAUUCCGAGUGUAGAGGUGAAAUUCGUAGAUAUUCGGAAGAACACCAGUGGCGAAGGCGACUUACUGGACACAUAUUGACGCUGAGGUGCGAAAGCGUGGGGAGCAAACAGG
RNAcentral lists this ribosomal RNA (253 nucleotides) under uncultured bacterium. RNAcentral's name for it is "partial 16S ribosomal RNA". It matches the Rfam family "Bacterial small subunit ribosomal RNA", at positions 524 to 776 of the family's 1533-position model. The record is from RNAcentral.